Molecule: non-coding RNA, 678 nt
Organism: Danio rerio (zebrafish)
Lineage: Eukaryota; Metazoa; Chordata; Actinopteri; Cypriniformes; Danionidae
Source: RefSeq, a predicted model, not a curated record
AUCAAGAGGAAGAAGCUGUUGUGGUUUAAAAUUUGUAGCGCAGAGUUGGAUUGCGAGUUCAAGUGGCCUACAAGAUAUUUGAGUGUGUCCAUGUAAAAUGAGCAGUCUAGCAGGUGUUUUUUGUUCUAGUUUUAAUAUGUAACCAUCAAGCGUGAUUGUGUCAUGAACACCUACCUCAUUUGAAGAGUGUGUACAUCUACCUCAAUGAAGACUUGUAAAAGAAUAUGUGGACUGAAAGUGCAGUGGCUGAAUCUCAAAAUGCACACACAGCAGUGGAGAUCUUUAUUGUUAGGGCGGAGGAUGCUGGUCCUGGGGACAGCCCUACAAAUGCUGGUGUAGAAGUUCUGCAGAGUGUCACAAUUGGAUUGGAUGGACUUUUUGGGUUCAUGUACACUUAGGGGUUUUUUUUUAACCAGAAAUGAAAACGUUUAAUUAUUUAUGCUGUACCAAACAUUGAUUUGUCUUCAUAGUACAAAUUAAGAUACUUCAGGCGAAAUCUGAGAGCUCUCUCAUUCUCUAUAGACAGCAAUGGUCCCAACUUGUUUAAAGUCCAGAGAAAUGUCUAAAACAUCCUCAAAACAGACCACAUGCUUUCAGUUGUUCAAUCAGAAUAUUUUUAAGCUACAAUAAUAAUUCUGAGCAUAUAAAGCAAAAAUAACAGCCUUUGAGUUUCUUCUG